AGUCAAUGAUGAUUAUUAAGAGUAGUGGACAGAAGAGAUUUCUGACAGCUAAAUCCACUGAGACG
This 65-nucleotide small nucleolar RNA is filed under the name Neogobius melanostomus (round goby). RNAcentral's name for it is "Small nucleolar RNA SNORD75 (ENSNMLG00000010072.1)". It matches the Rfam family "Small nucleolar RNA SNORD75". Rfam says of the family: U75 (SNORD75) belongs to the C/D class of snoRNAs which contain the C (UGAUGA) and D (CUGA) box motifs. The record is from Rfam by way of RNAcentral. Lineage: Eukaryota; Metazoa; Chordata; Actinopteri; Gobiiformes; Gobiidae.